UACGGAGGGGGCUAGCGUUGUUCGGAAUUACUGGGCGUAAAGCGCACGUAGGCGGACUGUUAAGUCGGGGGUGAAAUCCUGGGGCUCAACCUCAGAAUUGCCUCCGAUACUGGCAGUCUCGAGUGCGGGAGAGGUGAGUGGAAUUCCCAGUGUAGAGGUGAAAUUCGUAGAUAUUGGGAAGAACACCAGUGGCGAAGGCGGCUCACUGGCCCGUAACUGACGCUGAGGCAC
This 231-nucleotide ribosomal RNA is filed under the name uncultured bacterium. RNAcentral describes it as "partial 16S ribosomal RNA". It matches the Rfam family "Bacterial small subunit ribosomal RNA", at positions 524 to 754 of the family's 1533-position model. The record is from RNAcentral.